ACCACCAGAAUGACACUAAGAAGAUACUCUUUAGAUGUAAUACAACCUAGGAUUUGAUUUUUGAGUCCAACAUAUGGAAAAAAUAAAUGCUAGGGUACACUAGCAACACUUGCUAAAAAUCUCACCACCCUUCUUGCAACUUUUGCCAUUCAAUUUUCCCUUGCCAUUUUCUUAGAUUUUUUCUAAUUUUUUUUUAUAAUUUCCACAUCCCUCCUCUCUAGUUUCAAUACAAAAUAGUAGUAAGAAAAUGAGUGGGGCAUCUCAUAUAAAUAGG
This 274-nucleotide long non-coding RNA is filed under the name Elaeis guineensis (African oil palm). Its description in RNAcentral is "long non-coding RNA (EGUI_LNC079446)". The record is from RNAcentral. Lineage: Eukaryota; Viridiplantae; Streptophyta; Magnoliopsida; Arecales; Arecaceae.